Molecule: ribosomal RNA, 2904 nt
Filed under: Escherichia coli
Lineage: Bacteria; Pseudomonadati; Pseudomonadota; Gammaproteobacteria; Enterobacterales; Enterobacteriaceae
Description: 23S ribosomal RNA
Rfam family: Bacterial large subunit ribosomal RNA
Source: RNAcentral
GGUUAAGCGACUAAGCGUACACGGUGGAUGCCCUGGCAGUCAGAGGCGAUGAAGGACGUGCUAAUCUGCGAUAAGCGUCGGUAAGGUGAUAUGAACCGUUAUAACCGGCGAUUUCCGAAUGGGGAAACCCAGUGUGAUUCGUCACACUAUCAUUAACUGAAUCCAUAGGUUAAUGAGGCGAACCGGGGGAACUGAAACAUCUAAGUACCCCGAGGAAAAGAAAUCAACCGAGAUUCCCCCAGUAGCGGCGAGCGAACGGGGAGGAGCCCAGAGCCUGAAUCAGUGUGUGUGUUAGUGGAAGCGUCUGGAAAGGCGCGCGAUACAGGGUGACAGCCCCGUACACAAAAAUGCACAUACUGUGAGCUCGAUGAGUAGGGCGGGACACGUGGUAUCCUGUCUGAAUAUGGGGGGACCAUCCUCCAAGGCUAAAUACUCCUGACUGACCGAUAGUGAACCAGUACCGUGAGGGAAAGGCGAAAAGAACCCCGGCGAGGGGAGUGAAAAAGAACCUGAAACCGUGUACGUACAAGCAGUGGGAGCCUCUUAAUGGGGUGACUGCGUACCUUUUGUAUAAUGGGUCAGCGACUUAUAUUCUGUAGCAAGGUUAACCGAAUAGGGGAGCCGAAGGGAAACCGAGUCUUAACUGGGCGUUAAGUUGCAGGGUAUAGACCCGAAACCCGGUGAUCUAGCCAUGGGCAGGUUGAAGGUUGGGUAACACUAACUGGAGGACCGAACCGACUAAUGUUGAAAAAUUAGCGGAUGACUUGUGGCUGGGGGUGAAAGGCCAAUCAAACCGGGAGAUAGCUGGUUCUCCCCGAAAGCUAUUUAGGUAGCGCCUCGUGAAUUCAUCUCCGGGGGUAGAGCACUGUUUCGGCAAGGGGGUCAUCCCGACUUACCAACCCGAUGCAAACUGCGAAUACCGGAGAAUGUUAUCACGGGAGACACACGGCGGGUGCUAACGUCCGUCGUGAAGAGGGAAACAACCCAGACCGCCAGCUAAGGUCCCAAAGUCAUGGUUAAGUGGGAAACGAUGUGGGAAGGCCCAGACAGCCAGGAUGUUGGCUUAGAAGCAGCCAUCAUUUAAAGAAAGCGUAAUAGCUCACUGGUCGAGUCGGCCUGCGCGGAAGAUGUAACGGGGCUAAACCAUGCACCGAAGCUGCGGCAGCGACACUAUGUGUUGUUGGGUAGGGGAGCGUUCUGUAAGCCUGUGAAGGUGUACUGUGAGGUAUGCUGGAGGUAUCAGAAGUGCGAAUGCUGACAUAAGUAACGAUAAAGCGGGUGAAAAGCCCGCUCGCCGGAAGACCAAGGGUUCCUGUCCAACGUUAAUCGGGGCAGGGUGAGUCGACCCCUAAGGCGAGGCCGAAAGGCGUAGUCGAUGGGAAACAGGUUAAUAUUCCUGUACUUGGUGUUACUGCGAAGGGGGGACGGAGAAGGCUAUGUUGGCCGGGCGACGGUUGUCCCGGUUUAAGCGUGUAGGCUGGUUUUCCAGGCAAAUCCGGAAAAUCAAGGCUGAGGCGUGAUGACGAGGCACUACGGUGCUGAAGCAACAAAUGCCCUGCUUCCAGGAAAAGCCUCUAAGCAUCAGGUAACAUCAAAUCGUACCCCAAACCGACACAGGUGGUCAGGUAGAGAAUACCAAGGCGCUUGAGAGAACUCGGGUGAAGGAACUAGGCAAAAUGGUGCCGUAACUUCGGGAGAAGGCACGCUGAUAUGUAGGUGAAGCGACUUGCUCGUGGAGCUGAAAUCAGUCGAAGAUACCAGCUGGCUGCAACUGUUUAUUAAAAACACAGCACUGUGCAAACACGAAAGUGGACGUAUACGGUGUGACGCCUGCCCGGUGCCGGAAGGUUAAUUGAUGGGGUUAGCGGUAACGCGAAGCUCUUGAUCGAAGCCCCGGUAAACGGCGGCCGUAACUAUAACGGUCCUAAGGUAGCGAAAUUCCUUGUCGGGUAAGUUCCGACCUGCACGAAUGGCGUAAUGAUGGCCAGGCUGUCUCCACCCGAGACUCAGUGAAAUUGAACUCGCUGUGAAGAUGCAGUGUACCCGCGGCAAGACGGAAAGACCCCGUGAACCUUUACUAUAGCUUGACACUGAACAUUGAGCCUUGAUGUGUAGGAUAGGUGGGAGGCUUUGAAGUGUGGACGCCAGUCUGCAUGGAGCCGGCCUUGAAAUACCACCCUUUAAUGUUUGAUGUUCUAACGUUGGCCCCUGAUCGGGGUUGCGGACAGUGUCUGGUGGGUAGUUUGACUGGGGCGGUCUCCUCCUAAAGAGUAACGGAGGAGCACGAAGGUUGGCUAAUCCUGGUCGGACAUCAGGAGGUUAGUGCAAUGGCAUAAGCCAGCUUGACUGCGAGCGUGACGGCGCGAGCAGGUGCGAAAGCAGGUCAUAGUGAUCCGGUGGUUCUGAAUGGAAGGGCCAUCGCUCAACGGAUAAAAGGUACUCCGGGGAUAACAGGCUGAUACCGCCCAAGAGUUCAUAUCGACGGCGGUGUUUGGCACCUCGAUGUCGGCUCAUCACAUCCUGGGGCUGAAGUAGGUCCCAAGGGUAUGGCUGUUCGCCAUUUAAAGUGGUACGCGAGCUGGGUUUAGAACGUCGUGAGACAGUUCGGUCCCUAUCUGCCGUGGGCGCUGGAGAACUGAGGGGGGCUGCUCCUAGUACGAGAGGACCGGAGUGGACGCAUCACUGGUGUUCGGGUUGUCAUGCCAAUGGCACUGCCCGGUAGCUAAAUGCGGAAGAGAUAAGUGCUGAAAGCAUCUAAGCACGAAACUUGCCCCGAGAUGAGUUCUCCCUGACUCCUUGAGAGUCCUGAAGGAACGUUGAAGACGACGACGUUGAUAGGCCGGGUGUGUAAGCGCAGCGAUGCGUUGAGCUAACCGGUACUAAUGAACCGUGAGGCUUAACCUU